This 168-nucleotide ribosomal RNA is filed under the name Pichia terricola. RNAcentral describes it as "partial 18S rRNA". It matches the Rfam family "Eukaryotic small subunit ribosomal RNA", at positions 1484 to 1653 of the family's 1831-position model. Lineage: Eukaryota; Fungi; Ascomycota; Pichiomycetes; Pichiales; Pichiaceae. The record is from RNAcentral.
GGGCCGCACGCGCGCUACACUGACGGAGCCAGCAAGUACAACCUUGGUCGAGAGGCCCGGGUAAUCUCGUGAAACUCCGUCGUGCUGGGGAUAGAGCUUUGUAAUUUUUGCUCUUCAACGAGGAAUUCCUAGUAAGCGCAAGUCAUCAACUUGCGUUGAUUACGUCCC